UCAGAUAUAAACUUUAAACAACCU
RNAcentral lists this non-coding RNA (24 nucleotides) under Cricetulus griseus (Chinese hamster). Lineage: Eukaryota; Metazoa; Chordata; Mammalia; Rodentia; Cricetidae. The record is from RNAcentral.